RNAcentral lists this ribosomal RNA (253 nucleotides) under uncultured bacterium. Its description in RNAcentral is "partial 16S ribosomal RNA". It matches the Rfam family "Bacterial small subunit ribosomal RNA", at positions 524 to 776 of the family's 1533-position model. The record is from RNAcentral.
UACGGGGGGGGCAAGCGUUGUUCGGAAUUACUGGGCGUAAAGGGCUCGUAGGUGGCCAACUAAGUCAGACGUGAAAUCCCUCGGCUUAACCGGGGAACUGCAUCUGAUACUGGAUGGCUUGAGAUUGGGAGAGGGAUGCGGAAUUCCAGGUGUAGCGGUGAAAUGCGUAGAUAUCUGGAGGAACACCGGUGGCGAAGGCGGCAUCCUGGACCAACACUGACACUGAGGAGCGAAAGCCAGGGGAGCAAACAGG